RNAcentral lists this long non-coding RNA (319 nucleotides) under Mytilus galloprovincialis (Mediterranean mussel). Lineage: Eukaryota; Metazoa; Mollusca; Bivalvia; Mytilida; Mytilidae. The record is from RNAcentral.
GGUACAGUCUCCUGCUCCGAAAAGAGCUACAGUGUCUGCAAAUAAGUUUUCAAUUUUUACUGCCAUAAAAACAGGAUGUUUACAGUGUUGUCUCCCCUCAAAACAUGUAUAUUUAAUAUCAUUUUAAAAUUAUUUCAAUGAUUCAUCCUGUUUUAAUUGAAAGCAAAUUAACUAUUAUUUACAAUCAAAUACAAAAAACAUGAUACUUUUUCACCAAUUAAGUAAGUAAACAGGGGUUUCCCUCCAUGGUUAUUUUUAGUGGGGGAAUAACCCCUAGUUUUUUAUACCAACUGUUUAUAGCACCCUAAGCAAGUGUGGC